AUUGAACGCUGGCGGAAUGCUUUACACAUGCAAGUCGAGCGGCAGCACGGGGACAGCCCUGGCGGCGAGCGGCCAACGGGUGAGUAAUACAUCGGAACAUGCCCAGUCGUGUUGGAUAACACGUCGAAAGAAGUGCUAAUACCGCAUACGUCCUUAGGGGGUAAGCGGGGGAUCGCAAGACCUCGCGCGAUUGCACUAGCCGAUGUCAGAUUAGCUAGUUGGUGGGGUAAAGGCCUACCAAGGCAACGAUCUGUAGCUGGUCUGAGAGGAUGAUCAGCCACACUGGGACUGAGACACGGCCCAGACUCCUACGGGAGGCAGCAGUGGGGAAUUUUGGACAAUGGGCGCAAGCCUGAUCCAGCCAUACCGCGUGAGUGAAGAAGGCCUUCGGGUUGUAAAGCUCUUUUGUCAGGAAAGAAACGCUGAGCGCUAACACAGCGUGCUAAUGACGGUACCUGAAGAAGAAGCACCGGCUAACUACGUG
RNAcentral lists this ribosomal RNA (484 nucleotides) under uncultured bacterium. Its description in RNAcentral is "partial 16S ribosomal RNA". It matches the Rfam family "Bacterial small subunit ribosomal RNA", at positions 30 to 507 of the family's 1533-position model. The record is from RNAcentral.